UCUCAGGUGGCUCAGUGGUAGAGAAUCUGCCUCCAACACAGGAGACUCGGGUUUAAUCCCUGAGUUGGGAA
Molecule: transfer RNA, 71 nt
Filed under: Ovis aries (sheep)
Lineage: Eukaryota; Metazoa; Chordata; Mammalia; Artiodactyla; Bovidae
Rfam family: tRNA
About the family: Transfer RNA (tRNA) molecules are approximately 80 nucleotides in length. Their secondary structure includes four short double-helical elements and three loops (D, anti-codon, and T loops). Further hydrogen bonds mediate the characteristic L-shaped molecular structure. tRNAs have two regions of fundamental functional importance: the anti-codon, which is responsible for specific mRNA codon recognition, and the 3' end, to which the tRNAs corresponding amino acid is attached (by aminoacyl-tRNA synthetases). tRNAs cope with the degeneracy of the genetic code in two manners: having more than one tRNA (with a specific anti-codon) for a particular amino acid; and 'wobble' base-pairing, i.e. permitting non-standard base-pairing at the 3rd anti-codon position.
Source: Rfam by way of RNAcentral